RNAcentral lists this ribosomal RNA (880 nucleotides) under Bjerkandera adusta. Its description in RNAcentral is "partial large subunit ribosomal RNA". It matches the Rfam family "Eukaryotic large subunit ribosomal RNA", at positions 71 to 937 of the family's 3401-position model. Lineage: Eukaryota; Fungi; Basidiomycota; Agaricomycetes; Polyporales; Phanerochaetaceae. The record is from RNAcentral.
AGGAUUCCCCUAGUAACUGCGAGUGAAGCGGGAAAAGCUCAAAUUUAAAAUCUGGCGGUCUUCGGCCGUCCGAGUUGUAAUCUGGAGAAGCGUUUUCCGCGCUGGACCGUGUACAAGUCUCUUGGAACAGAGCGUCAUAGAGGGUGAGAAUCCCGUCUUUGACACGGACUACCAGUGCUAUGUGAUGCGCUCUCGAUGAGUCGAGUUGUUUGGGAAUGCAGCUCAAAAUGGGUGGUAAAUUCCAUCUAAAGCUAAAUAUUGGCGAGAGACCGAUAGCGAACAAGUACCGUGAGGGAAAGAUGAAAAGCACUUUGGAAAGAGAGUUAAACAGUACGUGAAAUUGCUGAAAGGGAAACGAUUGAAGUCAGUCGCGUGUGCUAGAACUCAGCCUUGCUUUUGCUUGGUGCAUUUUCUAGUGUACGGGCCAGCAUCAGUUUUGGCCGCCGGAAAAAGGCCUUGGGAAUGUGGCACCUUCGGGUGUGUUAUAGCCCUUGGUUGUAUACGGUGGCUGGGACUGAGGAACAUAGCAUGCCUUUACGGCGGGGCUUCGGCCACCUUCAUGCUUUGGAUGCUGGCGUAAUGGCUUUAAACGACCCGUCUUGAAACACGGACCAAGGAGUCUAACAUGCCUGCGAGUGUUUGGGUGGAAAACCCGAGCGCGUAAUGAAAGUGAAAGUUGGGACUUCUGUCGUGGAAGGCACCGACGCCCGGACCAGACCUUCUGUGACGGAUCCGCGGUAGAGCAUGUAUGUUGGGACCCGAAAGAUGGUGAACUAUGCCUGAAUAGGGUGAAGCCAGAGGAAACUCUGGUGGAGGCUCGUAGCGAUUCUGACGUGCAAAUCGAUCGUCAAAUUUGGGUAUAGGGGCGAAAGACUAAUCG